Molecule: transfer RNA, 73 nt
Filed under: Trichuris suis (pig whipworm)
Lineage: Eukaryota; Metazoa; Nematoda; Enoplea; Trichinellida; Trichuridae
Rfam family: tRNA
About the family: Transfer RNA (tRNA) molecules are approximately 80 nucleotides in length.
Source: Rfam by way of RNAcentral
GGCUGCGUGGUUUAAUGGAUAACGUGUCUGACUUCGGAUCAGAAGAUUGCAGGUUCAAGUCUUGUCGAGGUCC